GGGUGAUAUACUGUGCUUCUCGUCGAGUAGUUGUGAGAACGUUAUUGUGGUUUGUUCGCAAAGCUUAGUUAGAGCUACAAGUUUAAAGGAUUUGUUCUUUGACGUCGGUGAUUUGGUCAACUCAAAAAAAGGUGGGACGUGUAUGUAAAGGAACAAAGUAGUCUGCAAUUUGGAAGUAAUGGAUUCUUUUGCAAUGAUAUCCAAUCAAGCAAUAUAUUGGACUUACAUCAAUUGACAUGAUAAAUAAUAAAACCAGAAAUAUUUCAUUGAAUGGGAAUGUCCUUAGAACACUCAAGACUAAACAAGUGGUCACUACUGGAGAUUUAAAAAAGAAGUCUCUGUCUUCCCAACAUUGUUUAGCAUUUAGUGGAUUAUCAAAUAUUCCAUCAGGCAUCAAACAGUCUACUGGUAUCCAGGAUAUUAAGUCUUCCCAGCAGCAUUUAAAACAGUGUUCAAUUCCACGACCUACUUGUCAGAAUGGAAAUUUGUUUAAAACUGAAAGAAGUGUAGCUGACAGAAGUAGUAGCAGCAUAAAAAAUAUUCCUUUGCAGAAGCAUCCCAACACAUCAGAACAAAUAAAUAUAAGGAAAAGUAAAAGUAGAGUAUCUAAUGCUUCUUGUUUAAUGUCUGGAUCUGUACGACGAGGGCAGUUCAAAACGGACCGAACUGUUGUAUCCACUACCAAACAAAAACCUUCUAAACUAUUAGUAAAUAGAGCUGUAAGGGAAUUGCCUUCUCUGGAUGAAACUCAAGAAUUGAAUUUUUCAAGAACUCCAUCUUUUAAGCCUAGUCAAAAAUUUAGAAUGGCGGGUACACAGCAUCAGACAGUAAAAUCAAAGUCUGCAGAAACUAAGGCCCUUCCAGAAAAUCCUAGUGCCAGUGAUUUACAACAAGAGGGAACUGAUAAGAAAGAGGAUUCAUUUAAUGAAAAUAAACCUUUAAGUAAAACAAUUAGUCAAACCCUUAUUUCACGAUUUUCAUUUACUAAAACAGUAAAUAGAAAGCUUAGUGUAGAAGAGUUUUUACCCCAAAGUAAAACAGCUUUGUCAACUGAGUCACCCUCUGAAAUUCAAGCUAUUUCCUAUGGGAGUACUAUCUGUGAUAAGUCUGAAAAUAUAAAUAGAAAUAGUACAGUCAAUGGUGUGAAAAAUGCUGUGUUAUAUUCUAAUUUUGAUAAAACAGACCUUAAAGAAAGGACAGACCAAACAAAUGGUGUAACGAAUACAGAGGAAGAUUACACUAAGUGUGAAUUAGAUAGUUCUCUUGCUAUAAAUGCCACUCUAUCCUCGGUUACAGAUUCAGUAACUGAUCUCAGAGGUGAUGCAGUAGCUGUUAAGAAGAAAGUUGGUCAGGUUGACACUGAUGCAAACAAAACAGAUGAGAAUACUUCUGAGUUGCGUUCUGAAGAAGAUGAAGCAGUGAAAGCAAGGGAUACAUCCUCUGAUGGGCGUUUUCUUAAAUUUGAAGAGGAGAUUGGACGUGGAUCGUUCAAAACAGUAUAUAAGGGAUUAGAUACAGCCACAGGAGUUGCUGUUGCCUGGUGUGAACUUCAAGAGCGCCUAAACAAAAGUGAGCGACAGAGGUUUCGAGAAGAAGCUGAGAUGCUAAAAGGACUGCAACAUCCCAAUAUUGUUCGUUUUUAUGAUUACUGGGAAGUUAAUCUGCCUAAGAAAAAAUACUUAGUGUUAAUUACAGAACUAAUGACGUCGGGAACGCUGAAAACGUAUUUACGUCGAUUUAAGAAGAUCAACUUGAAAGUCUUGAAGUCGUGGUGUAAACAGAUCUUAAAAGGGCUGAGUUUUCUUCAUUCUCGUUCUCCUCCCAUUAUCCAUCGUGAUCUCAAAUGUGAUAACAUUUUUAUUACGGGAACUACUGGAUCGGUGAAAAUUGGAGACCUGGGACUGGCUACGCUGAAAAACAGAUCAUUUGCCAAGAGUGUCAUAGGGUAUUCCACCUCAGAGUUUUGGAAAGAUUGAAAAUCUAGAACUGAAAGAAAUCAUUGGUUGCUGCACACGACUUUCGAGAGAAGAAAGGCCUACUGUAAAGGAAAUGCUCCAGUUGGACUUCUUCCAGGAGGAUCUAGGUGUGAAGGUCGAAUUUGUGAACCGCGAGAAAAACGUCACAAGCAAUGAUCCCAAAGUUGAACUACUGUUAAGA
This 2157-nucleotide unclassified non-coding RNA is filed under the name Limulus polyphemus (Atlantic horseshoe crab). RNAcentral's name for it is "serine/threonine-protein kinase WNK-like, transcript variant X1". The record is from RNAcentral. Lineage: Eukaryota; Metazoa; Arthropoda; Merostomata; Xiphosura; Limulidae.